Molecule: unclassified non-coding RNA, 352 nt
Filed under: soil metagenome
Description: partial contains 5.8S ribosomal RNA, internal transcribed spacer 2, and large subunit ribosomal RNA
Rfam family: 5.8S ribosomal RNA (bases 1-120)
Source: RNAcentral
GAUGAAGAACGCAGCGAAAUGCGAUAAGUAAUGUGAAUUGCAGAAUUCAGUGAAUCAUCGAAUCUUUGAACGCACAUUGCGCCCGCCAGUAUUCUGGCGGGCAUGCCUGUUCGAGCGUCAUUACAACCCUCAGGCCCCCGGGCCUGGCGUUGGGGAUCGGCGGAGCCCCCCGUGGGCACACGCCGUCCCCCAAAUGCAGUGGCGGUCCCGCCGCAGCUUCCAUCGCGUAGUAGCUAACACCUCGCGACUGGAGAGCGGCGCGGCCACGCCGUGAAACACCCAACUCUUCUGAAGUUGACCUCGAAUCAGGUAGGAAUACCCGCUGAACUUAAGCAUAUCAAUAAGCGGAGGA